RNAcentral lists this small RNA (130 nucleotides) under Salmonella enterica subsp. salamae serovar 42:r:-. RNAcentral's name for it is "RtT sRNA". It matches the Rfam family "RtT RNA". From Rfam's summary of the family: This family represents a bacterial cis-regulatory element known as RtT RNA. The exact function of RtT is unknown although it is thought that it may be involved in changing the cellular response in relation to amino acid starvation. The record is from RNAcentral. Lineage: Bacteria; Pseudomonadati; Pseudomonadota; Gammaproteobacteria; Enterobacterales; Enterobacteriaceae.
UAUCUCUCCGUACGGGGAAGGAUGAGAAGCUUCGACUAAGGUUCGAUUCGAGCGCAGCGAGAAAGCGUUACCGCAGGCAACGACCCGAAGGGUGAGGAGCGGAGCGACGAAUAAUCCUUCCCCACCACCA